GGGUGCGGCUGAAUCAGAGAUUGGCUGCACAAAUUUUAAAAUUAUUGUAUUAGGAUAAAGUUAUGUCUCUGAAUGCAGAAACUAAAGCAGCAAUCGUUGCUGAAUACGCACAAUGUGAA
This is a regulatory RNA element of Photobacterium jeanii, 119 nucleotides long. It matches the Rfam family "Ribosomal S15 leader". From Rfam's summary of the family: The E. coli Ribosomal S15 gene 5' UTR can form two alternative structures. Lineage: Bacteria; Pseudomonadati; Pseudomonadota; Gammaproteobacteria; Vibrionales; Vibrionaceae. The record is from Rfam.